GGAAUAUUGGACAAUGGGCGCAAGCCUGAUCCAGCCAUGCCGCGUGAGUGAUGAAGGCCUUAGGGUUGUAAAGCUCUUUCACCGGAGAAGAUAAUGACGGUAUCCGGAGAAGAAGCCCCGGCUAACUUCGUGCCAGCAGCCGCGGUAAUACGAAGGGGGCUAGCGUUGUUCGGAAUUACUGGGCGUAAAGCGCACGUAGGCGGAUAUUUAAGUCAGGGGUGAAAUCCCAGAGCUCAACUCUGGAACUGCCUUUGAUACUGGGUAUCUUGAGUAUGGAAGAGGUAAGUGGAAUUGCGAGUGUAGAGGUGAAAUUCGUAGAUAUUCGCAGGAACACCAGUGGCGAAGGCGGCUUACUGGUCCAUUACUGACGCUGAGGUGCGAAAGCGUGGGGAGCAAACAGGAUUAGAUACCCCUG
This 415-nucleotide ribosomal RNA is filed under the name uncultured Neorhizobium sp. Its description in RNAcentral is "bacterial SSU rRNA". It matches the Rfam family "Bacterial small subunit ribosomal RNA", at positions 358 to 789 of the family's 1533-position model. The record is from RNAcentral. Lineage: Bacteria; Pseudomonadati; Pseudomonadota; Alphaproteobacteria; Hyphomicrobiales; Rhizobiaceae.